This 108-nucleotide ribosomal RNA is filed under the name Candidatus Yanofskybacteria bacterium RIFCSPLOWO2_01_FULL_43_22. Lineage: Bacteria; Candidatus Yanofskyibacteriota. The record is from RNAcentral.
UCUGGUGAUUUAUCGCAGAGGAAACACCUCUUCCCAUUCCGAACAGAGAAGUUAAGCUUUGUUGAGGCGAUGAUACCCUUCAGUGGGGAAAGUAGCUAGUCGCCAGGC